This 116-nucleotide ribozyme is filed under the name Aedes aegypti (yellow fever mosquito). RNAcentral describes it as "drz-agam-1 ribozyme". It matches the Rfam family "drz-agam-1 ribozyme". Lineage: Eukaryota; Metazoa; Arthropoda; Insecta; Diptera; Culicidae. The record is from Rfam by way of RNAcentral.
UGCCCAGCAACUCCUAUCCCUACCUCCUCGCGGUACUGUCCGGGGUACGAGUAACCUUAGGGAAGAUCGGGUAACCAACCCCAGUAGGAUCUCUGAUCGUAUGCUGACAGAGAAGG